GAUGAACGCUAGCGGCAGGCUUAAUACAUGCAAGUCGUGGGGCAGCAGGACUGUAGCAAUACAGUUGCUGGCGACCGGCAAACGUGUGCGGAACACGUACGCAACUUACCCUUAACUGGGGGAUUGCCCGGGGAAACCCGGAUGAAUACCCCGUAAUAUAAUGGAGUGGCAUCACUUUAUUAUUAAAGCUCCGGCGGUUCGGGAUGGGCGUGCGGCUGAUUAGGUAGUUGGUUGAGGUAACGGCUCACCAAGCCUACGAUCAGUAACUGGUGUGAGAGCACGCCCAGUCACACGGGCACUGCGACACGGGCCCGUCUCCUCCGGGCGGCAGCAGUACGGUAUCGUUGGCAAUGGAAGCUUCUCUGACCCAGCCAUGCCGCGUGGCGCAUGUAGGCCCUCUGGGUUGUAACCUUCUUCUAUUGGCGACGAAGCAUGUGUAUUCUUACGCAGUUGACGGUCCCCUAGGCAUAAGCCCCGUCUACCUCCCUG
Molecule: ribosomal RNA, 489 nt
Filed under: uncultured bacterium
Lineage: Bacteria
Description: partial 16S ribosomal RNA
Rfam family: Bacterial small subunit ribosomal RNA
Source: RNAcentral